This 497-nucleotide ribosomal RNA is filed under the name uncultured bacterium. RNAcentral describes it as "partial 16S ribosomal RNA". It matches the Rfam family "Bacterial small subunit ribosomal RNA", at positions 28 to 507 of the family's 1533-position model. The record is from RNAcentral.
GAUGAACGCUGGCGGCGUGCCUAAUACAUGCAAGUCGAGCGAACAGACGAGGAGCUUGCUCCUCUGACGUUAGCGGCGGACGGGUGAGUAACACGUGGAUAACCUACCUAUAAUACUGGGAUAACUUCGGGAAACCGGAGCUAAUACCGGAUAAUAUAUUGAACCGCAUGGUUCAAUAGUGAAAGACGGUUUUGCUGUCACUUAUAGAUGGAUCCGCGCCGCAUUAGCUAGCUGGUAAGGUAACGGCUUACCAAGGCAACGAUGCGUAGCCGACCUGAGAGGGUGAUCGGCCACACUGGAACUGAGACACGGUCCAGACUCCUACGGGAGGCAGCAGUAGGGAAUCUUCCGCAAUGGGCGAAAGCCUGACGGAGCAACGCCGCGUGAGUGAUGAAGGUCUUCGGAUCGUAAAACUCUGUUAUUAGGGAAGAACAAAUGUGUAAGUAACUAUGCACGUCUUGACGGUACCUAAUCAGAAAGCCACGGCUAACUACGUG